UCCCUCUGGCGGAUCCCUGACCACGGUGCACAGACCUUCGGGCGGACCGUUGGGCGAUGUGGUUCUUGGCUUGCAGGCUGAGGUGCAUGCGACAGGGUCCUUCACCUCGAGCCGGGCAGAGCGCGGAUUAUCCGCAGUUGAUUGACUCGAGGCCGAGUCGGGUGGCUAGCUGGAAUAAGGUAGAUAGAACCUUGAGGGCUAGUGGUAAAUGUGUAAACCUAAGGUAAUAGAGAUCUUAGAGUUGGAUGAUAUGAACUAGAGUUAGCGAGAUCGAUUGUAGAAUCAAUAAUUCUACUAGUUGUUGCAUAUAUUCAUGUUGCAUAUAUUCCUGCUGCAUAUAGCAUGACAUCAUUGCAGUUGUGAGGCAAAGCAAGGUAAAGUUAGUUGCAUGUUUAUGAUAUACAUAUCUAUCUGUUUAUUGGACUAACUUGUAUUUGCCUCCCUUGGACCUGUUGGUCGAGCUCCUCCUGUCACACCCCGAAACUGAUACCAAUUUGGUCCAGUUCGGGCGCGUCGAACAGACGCCGGACGGACAGCACCUCCCCUGUCCGUCCAAGGCUAACAAAGAGAUUGUGUACAACAAGUCCCCAGGAAAAAUAACUUGAAUACAUACACAAUCGAUAACUACAACGAGAGCACAAUCAGUGCAAAACAACUAAGAGCAAGAUACAAGUAUAAGAUAUACAAGUAAUGAUAAAGAGAGAACAUCUAUCUAUUACAUUCAUUCAACUAUUAGAUUACAAUUCGAUUAUACAUUGAACUUCCAAAACAUAAUAAAAAGCUUACAUCUUCCAAAAUCUAAACAUUAGCUUACAUUCAUCCCAAAAUAGCUCACAACCUAUACAUCAUCUACUCUCAAUGUAUAUAAAGGUAACUCUAAUGCAGAAAUAGGAAGGUAAACUAAUGCAACUAGGGCGCUAGGCCCUUACCGCGAUCCUCGCCGUGUGAACUCGCGCUCGGCCCUGUAGUAAAAUGGGGGUGAGAACUAACUUCCUUAGUUCCCAGUGGGUUCGGCCGCCGACUCCGCCGAUCUCCCCACUAGGUCCAAGUGGGCACCAGUAGAUAAUCGAUAGAUAGAUAGAUAAGGAAAGCGGUAAAUGACAGAAAUAAAGCUACUCUACUAUGCACAAUCAUAAAUAUAUGAAUGCAUGUACAAUGAAAUAGGUAAGCAACUAACCUGUUAUCAUGUCCAAAGGUAAAGCUAUUCACUCGUUCGUUUACCUCAUUUAUUCAUUAAUCUCAUGGCUUACCCGAAGGCUCGCCUACAGCUCACUAGCCAUCUCGACGCGUAGGGAGAAUUAACUCAUACUACGAACCCGAGACCGUCUGGCGGGGCCAAAAUAGGCAAUCCCUUGGGACCCAAAAUAGGCAAUCCCACGUGACCAACUCCGGAGCGCACUACUUGUGUGGGGCUUCCAUCACAAGAUUUAAAAAUAGACCGUGAGCAUGAUCCAAUCCUCGUCUCGAGAAUACCCUAUCCUCUAGGGUUACAAUCAUCAUAUAGUCCAUAGGUUUCAUAUACACUACGACUCACAUAUGUCACUUGUUCUUUUGUUUACUAUCAACUAGAUGCCACUCGUUCUUUACAAGUUUCCAAUGCAAUAGCCAAUACAUUACUAAAUUUCCAUCCACACUUAUCAUCUCAUUAUAGGGUUCCACAUCACAUAUAUAAACCUCAAGCAUGCUAGAUAUAAAUACUAAGCC
This 1704-nucleotide long non-coding RNA is filed under the name Ananas comosus (pineapple). RNAcentral's name for it is "long non-coding RNA (ACOM_LNC037164)". Lineage: Eukaryota; Viridiplantae; Streptophyta; Magnoliopsida; Poales; Bromeliaceae. The record is from RNAcentral.